ACAGGGGUAGCCAGGUAGGUACAGAUUGAAAAAUUAUUAUUUUCAUUAUUAUUCAUUAUUAGAUUUUUUUUAAGAGAUUUUAAAUUUUUUUUCAGUUGGUUGACGAUAGCCUCAGCUGGAAGUUACAUUUUUAUGCAUUUAUUUAUUAAAUACGCAGCAUUCAUAUUAGCUGAAUGAUGCGCUAUCUGACGCAUUAUUGUCACAACUCAUUUUGGAAUUGUCAGCCGUUAAUACAAAGCACAAUGAUAACUAUCGAUAGUUUUGACAUCUUUAGAUCACAAACAAAACAGGUGGCUUUCAAACAAGUGCAAAAAUUAUGUUUACAUGUUUACAAGUUUACAAGUGCAAAAUUUAUGGAUAUAAGAAAUUUUCUUCAAAAAGGUAAGUAUUAAAUGGGUUAUAAACUUUUGAUUGUCUACUAUUGCUAUUACUUUCGAGGUAUCUCUUCUGUUAAGAGGAAACAUGUUCGUGACAGCAGCAGUGGAAGUGAAGAAGUUAUUGUGAGCGCUUGUUCAUCACAAUCGGCUGUGCCUGUUGCUGAGGCGCAAGCAAAUAAAGCUUCUUCUGUGGAAAUAGAUGUCACUGAGGAAUGCCAUGUAAAUGAUGUGGGCCGCUAUGUUGGGCGAGCUUCGCAGCUGUCUGUCGAAAAAAAAGGAGAUUCUACUUCGUCUGUGGGUUCCAAAUGCUGCCUAUGAUUUUAAAACUGAUGCAAAAGCUUUGCAAAGAAAAUUCAACCAUGGGUGGUUGGAUAUAUAUGCGCCGUGGUUGGUAUAUUCCAAGCGGUUGAAAGGUGCACUGUGUAAGUACUGUGUGCUGUUUCCGCCUGUUCCUGUUUUAAAAAAAAUGCACGAGUUCUCCAAAAAGCAUUCUCACACAAGUCUCCACAUUGCUGCAUCAGCUUCAGCGAAGGCUUUAAUUGAAAAUGUGCCCGUUGACGUACAAUUGAAAACACACCAUAUGAAAACUAUGGAAGAUAAUAGAAAUAUUAUAAAAUCUAUUAUUUCAUGUGUGUUAUUUUGCGGCACACACGACAUGCCUCUCAGGGGCAGAAAUUCCGACGAGGGCGUUCUUCUAGACUUAAUAAACUUACGAAUCGCUUCAGGCGACUCAAAGCUAAAAGAACAAAUGACAUCAUACAAAUUCAAAAUGACAUCAUAUACAUUUUCGGAGAAAUUAUUAAAGAACUUAUUGUGAAUGAUAUAAAAACAACAAAUCCUUACACCGUCUUAGCAGAUGAAACUGCUGAUAUAUCAAGCAAUUUUAAGAAGAAAAUAUACCCGCGCAGAAUAUUUUCAUUGCUCCAGCCAUAAACUGAACCUGGUUGUCAAUGCUACAAAUACGGUUCCAGAAAUAAGAAAUGCCAUAUCAACAACAAAGGACGUUAUAAACUUUUUUAGCGAAUCAACCACGCGAAGGAACUGAGUGCCUACUAUAUCACGUUUGUGUGAAACCAGAUGGUCAGAAAAAUAUAAGGCAGUAAGAAAGUUUUCUGAAAAUUUUCCUGAAAUUGUUGAAGGACUGAAAAAAUUAUCCAUAGAUGGAAACUAUAGCACAAGAAAGAGUGCAUACCAGCUUCAUUCAUCGGUGAUUAUCGUUUCCCUAAUGAUAUUUGCAAAAUACUCUGCAUUACUGCAAUUGAUAUGAUUGCAGUAGGUGAGCAUAUUCUAAUGAAAUAACAAAAUUAUAUUUGUAAAGUUGGAAUGUUUGCAGAAUACUUAUUUUUUGUUUGUUUAAUAGGUGAGCAUAUUGAAAAAAAUAUUGAGGUAAUUGAAAACGAUCGUAGCAAUGCAGAGCAAGUAACGAAUGAACUCCUUGCACAAGUGCGAAGAGUUGCAACUGCUAUCUUUACCGCGUUUAGCUGUAAAACAAAAACAUAGGAGCAAUCCUCCAUCAAACAACGAAGAUGAGUACUGGCGACGCUGUAUUGUGAUUCCAUAUCUUGACUCCUUAACAGCUUCGUUUAAAAUAAGAUUUGCCCGUGAAAAAACUCCAGCAUUUGCGCUAUCUCGGUUGCAUCCAUUGUAUAUGCUCAAAAGUUCAAUUGAAGCCGUUUUUGAAAACUCGAAACUAUUCGAAAAGCUUUACGAUUUAGAUGUCAGCAAUGAAUUGAAACUUUGGUACAAUUUAUGGAAGAAUAAAAAUUUAUCAGAAAUGGAAUUAAGAGAAAUUGAAGUUGUUGAAUUGAUCAAACAGGCAGAUGAAUUUUACCCUUCAAUUCGAAAAGCUCUCAAAAUAUUAUGUACAUUACCAUGCACUACAGCAACGGUGGAGCGUUCAUUUAGUACGCUAAGGAGAUUUAAAACUUGGCUUCGGAGCACGAUGGGAGAAGAGAGAUUAUCUGGAUUAUGAGCGUGCAUCGCACAUUUGUGAAAGAACAUCAACAGCCCAUUUAAGAAAAAAUCAUCAAUAAAUUUUCAGAAAAUCCUAGACGUCUACUACUUGCAUAAAAAUUUGUAAGUUAAAAAAAAAAUUGAAAUAGAAUAUUUGCCAGAAAUAAAUUGUAUAAAUAAAUCAUAAAAGUAACCGUAGUAUUGUCCAAGCGCACAUUCCCUUAACGAAUUCUCCGUAUUUUACAAAAAUUCCAAUGUAAUAAAGCGUAUCCAAAUAGAGGGUUUCGAGUUAAUAUCCGAAAAAGUGUGAAGUCAAAUUUUUAUAUAAAACAUCGACAUAAAACAUCGUUGAAAGUGACAUCGAUGCAUCGAAAUUUUUAGAUUCAAGACAUCAAUGGCUAACAUCGAUGAUUUUUGACGAAAACAUCAAUGUUUCAAAAACAUCGAUACAUGGUUUGCAUCCCUAAUGCCACAACGAACUAAAUUACCUGUCAGGAAAGCGAAAGAAAUAUAUUCAUUGCGAAAAAAAAUUUCAAGAUGAGUUUAGAAUUCGAGAAAAAUUAUGGAAAUUGGUCCGGCCCAAGUGGCACUUUUGUGGAGCGACGAAACAAAAAUUAAUUUGUUCGAGAAAGAUGCCAGACGAAGUGUAGUAGGCGGACGGACAAAACCGAAGAAAAAAAGAAGUGCAUAGUAAAAUAAUAAUGAAUAUAUGCGCAAACGAAAAAGAAUUUAUUUUAAAUUUCAUUCAGACUUGUCAAUAUACCAUAUGAUAAUCGUGAGUUAUUUCGGUUAAUAUUCGGUUUUAGGUUUGUUUUACCUUAAUGCUCCUAUAUUUUUGAAUAAAAGUACUAUAUGCUAUACUGCUUUUUUAAAAAAUAUUUUUUUUUUUUCAAUUGUACCUAGUAUACAAUGAUUAAAUACUAACAACAAUUAAAUUCUAAUAACUUAAAAAUAAUAGCUGUCAUCGAUUGGCUAACUGCUAUAGACAAGCCAAUCGAACAAACUUUCCAAAUUUUCAUACGAACUGGCAGCACUUAAAUCGAAUUGUCUAUACUUGGAGGAUGGGAUCAUGUGUAGAAGUUCACGUAAGUGAGGAAAGUUUUUGAUUGUCAUUCACUUGGGAGUGGCCAGAAACGACUCUUCUCCACAUGAUUCAAGCACGAUCACGACUUUCUGUUUUAGACCAAGUAUCCUCUGGGUAGCUAACAAACAUCCGUUUGAAGGCGAGCUAAAGUGAGAAGACGAACCCGCCACAUAAAAACUAAGUACCAAUGACAAAUCGAAGAAAGCCUCGGAUGAGACACCCCCCUUUUGAUGACGACCCCUGCAAACGUUUUAAGGAUAAUGAUUUAAGGGCAUGCAUCUGGAAUGAACGGACCCUUAAUUGGCAAGGUGCCUCUGCCCAGGUGGUUGAUGUCUUCAUACGACUAAAGGCUGAUAUCACCGCCAUCUAAGAAGUGCGAUGGACGGGACAAGGACGGAAGACGGUGGGUGCUUGUGACAUCUACUACAGCGGCCAUAUAAAGGAGCGCAAAUUUGGUGUUGGAUUUGUGGUGGGAGAGAGACUCCGUCGCCGAGUCCUGGCAUUCACCCCGGUGGAUUAACGUCUAGCCACAAUCCGCAUAAAAGCGAGGUUCUUCAACAUAUCGCUGAUUUGCGCCCACGCUCCAACGGAAGAGAAGGAUGAUGUGACCAAAGAUACUUUCUAUGAGCGCCUAGAACGCACCGACAAGUGCUGCUCCCGCCACGAUGUCAAAAUCGUGCUUGGCGAUGUCAACGCUAGCUUGAGAAGCUGGCAGACAGAGGGCAUACUGGGAUUAUGGAGGGAACACUUCUCCGGCCUGCUGAAUGGCAGUGAAAGUACAACACCAGGAGAUGGCGAACCCGAUUCUCCAAUCGAUGACGAUGGAUUUUUGUCGAUUUUAAAGCUGCUUUCGACAGCACGAAAAGGAGCUGCCUUUACGCCGCGAUGUCUGAGUUUGUUAUCUCCGCAAAACCAAUACGGCUGUGUAAGUUGACGUUGAGCAACACCAAAAGCUCCGUCAUGAUUGGGAAAGACCUCUCCGAGCCGUUCGAUACCAAACGAGGUUUCAGACAAGGCGACUCACUAUCGUCGACAUUGACAUAGUUCAGCGAAUAAAAAGACAGUGGCUACGCUGGCUAGGUCAUGUUGUCCGAAUGGACGAAAACACUCCAGCUCCGAAAGUGUUCGAUGCAGUACCCGCCGGAGGAAGCCGAGGAAGGGGAAGGCCUCCACUCCGUUGGAGGGACCAGGUGGAGAGCGACAUGGUUACACUUGGGAUCUCCAACUGGCGCCGAACUGCGAAGGAAAGAGAGGAGUGGCGCGCUCUCAUCGAUUCGGCUAUAACCGGCUAAACGGUUCAACGCCAAUUACAUACAUUCAUAUACUUGGUCGCACUAAACUCUUCUUCCAUGUCUUUUUUUCUGCAACAAAUUUUAUUUUUAUUAAAGUUUUUUAUUCAAUAAAUUCAAUACAAAGAUAUUUAGGAUUUAUCUUCGCGUGCCAUUUUCAGUUUCAAAUUUGUGUAUAAUAAUUUUUAUUAUUUUGACAGUAAUUUGUCCUUUGAGUCGUUCACAAUAGUAAAAUGGUUCAAAAAUGUGUAAAACAAAAUUUGGCAGCACUCAGCAAGCGGUGAUAGAAUUUUUAAUGAGGUAUUCGCAUACUCUUCUGCACGAAUUCAACUAGAUAACUUUGUUGUUGCUUUCACAUGUAAAAUUUUUGACAGGCGAGCAGAGAAGUGAUCAAUCGAUGGCAGCUAAUAAUUAAAAGCUAAAUGUUAGAGAAAUUCCUUUGCUGCUACAGUUGCCUUGCUAAGUCUGAAGGCCUCUUAAGUUUCAGUCGGUUUUCUCGUUCAGCAGUACCGAUGAGUCUGGAUGCUUCUUCAUUUGCUUGCUGUAUAAGCCUCAUUUCGUGACUCAUUGCAAGUUUGGUUAUUUCGUUUACUAUUGAAUUCACACCAAGAUCACGGUGAAUGUCAGCAGAUGUAAUAGCCCUGACAGAUGGCAGCGUUAAUUCGGAAUAACUGCUUUAAUCGGGGUUAAUUCGAGAGUUAUCUCAGUUAACUCCGUUUGCUAACUCCCAUUUAAUUCUAAAAUUUUUAGAGAGUUAGUGGGAGUUCGUGGCAUUUUCGUUGGCAGCAUUGUUAAACAUGCCCGCUUUUUAUAUAUUGUGAAUGAAAAUAUGCAAUGCUGACAGCUGCAUAGCAUACACAUGCUAAUUUUUUCUAAAAUGGAAUUUCUAAUAAUAACGUAUUUAUGUAUAUUUGUUUAAUAAUUAGUGAUUUUGUACUAGUUGUGCGGCUAACAACCGCAAUAUUUGCUUUCUAUCCAAUUUUAUUUCACCAAAAUGGAAAUAUUAUUGCCAAUCAGCUGUUAUGGGAGUUUAUAACUCGCUUUGCUGCCGUCUGUCACCCACAAAAUUGGAACUGAUUAAAAGCGCAGUUAAUCGGGAAUAACUCUGCCGUCUGUCUAGCCUAUAACAUACCAAGGAGCAUUAACUAUAAUUAUUAGUACCUUUUUUUUGGAAGCGCUGAAUGCAGGCAAUACAGUUUUGACUUGAGCAACCCCAUAGUUGAGCUCCAUAGGCCCAAAGUGGCUUUAGUACUUGAUUACAGUACUUUUCGUUUAAUUGCACAUCAAAUUUUGCACAAAUUUUCGUUCAAUUAACCGGGGAAUCAAUUAUCAGAUACUCCCGUAAUUGAACAAUUUGUUCAAUAAAAAAAUCCCGUUUGAAUGAAUUUGUUCAAUUACUGGAAUCACGCUUAUAUUUGUUGAAUUAAGCGAUUACGUUGGAAUCAAAAUUUGAAAGUUUUUUGUCUUAUUAAAUUGUACAAUAUUGAAAUAUUAUCUAAAAGUAUGAAAUCGAUAUGAUUAAAAUUUCAAGAAUGUAAAACUUUUAACGGAUUAUCUCAAAACUUGAAUUUUGAAGUCAGUGGACACGAUUUCUUGAAAAGUUAUAAAGCGAUUCUAUUGAAAAAUUUCCACACAUCUUUAUUACAACUAUUUUUCGAGUCAGUAUAUGGCGAAAAUUUGACCACAAAUGUUAGUUUUUUUGUUCAAAAUCUAUCAAGAAUUAAGUUUUUAAUCUUUUCUUUUUUUCCUUCGUUCAUUAACAACAAAUAUUUAUGGUUCGUAGAUUUGGAUGAACCAAUAAUGAGUUAUGAUGUCCACUGCAAGAACCUUUUUUGGACACUUCAUGGAAGAUGAGGUAACAACGUCUAAGCUUUCGGAAUUUCUAAAUAUUAAUUUCAUAAAAUACUGUUUAAAUAUCUAUGUAUCUAUUUAUGUACAUAUGUACAUAUAUAUAUUUGUUAUUCAAAUUUAUUAUUGAAAAAUUAUACAGUGUUGAUUAGAAGA
Molecule: long non-coding RNA, 6707 nt
Organism: Zeugodacus cucurbitae (melon fly)
Lineage: Eukaryota; Metazoa; Arthropoda; Insecta; Diptera; Tephritidae
Exons: 2
Source: RefSeq, a predicted model, not a curated record